Molecule: long non-coding RNA, 493 nt
Filed under: Athene cunicularia (burrowing owl)
Lineage: Eukaryota; Metazoa; Chordata; Aves; Strigiformes; Strigidae
Description: lncRNA (ENSACUG00000013757.1)
Source: RNAcentral
GUAUAUCCAUGGCACACCUAUACUGUUCAAAGUAUGUCUGCCUUAGAAAAUCUUGUUAACAGUGAUCCUCUUUUCUGUAUUUAGGUUCUCCAGGCAAAGUUUAAGGAUUUCAAGUCAAACCGUUGGGUGGUUGAGUCACCAUACAGCCUCCUCCUUUCUGUGCAGCAUUGGCCAAACUAACUUGCGUGACUCUGAACGGUGAAGCCUGAGUAUCUGGGAAGUACAUGACUGACAAUGUGCACUGCAAAGGGGGCUUUGGCUAAAGGACGUCCAUAAGAGCAAGAAAACAAUUUUAUUAUCAAAGAGUGGCAACAGAAAUGGACAAAGGUGAACAACUGCUGCAGCUAUUUGCAAUAGAAAAGAGCCAACAAAGCAGAACUAUGGGAACUGAUGGUUCAGAUUUACAAGUUGUGUUACUGCUCUGGGAGUAUGACAGUGACUUCAGCUUGCACACCACCCUGAUGGGGAGAAAACAGCCCAUCUUGACUUUCCA